This 3114-nucleotide ribosomal RNA is filed under the name Cordylochernes scorpioides. RNAcentral's name for it is "eukaryotic LSU rRNA". The stretch from base 2086 to 3114 matches the Rfam family "Eukaryotic large subunit ribosomal RNA", at positions 1891 to 3264 of the family's 3401-position model. The record is from RNAcentral. Lineage: Eukaryota; Metazoa; Arthropoda; Arachnida; Pseudoscorpiones; Chernetidae.
AUUACAACACUGUCUAGAUGGCAUAUCUCGGCUGCUAUAAUGUAACAUACUUUCUGCUGCUCUUAGAAAUAGCAACAAGAUCUUCUUCAUUACCAUCCUAGAUUCUCUACAAUGAUCAUCAAAGAGGUAGCGAGACUAUCUGGCAGGAAAGAGUGAUGAUAUCUAUCAAAAUUCCCAUGCAUUGGUGGCUUCCUCUUAAUACCGCCUUCUACAGUGAUAUGAGCUUUAAGAGAAAAAUAAUAAGGGGGAGGCAAGGUCCGUUAUUAUAAAAACAAAAAUAUAAAAAUAAUAUUGAAAAAAAAAAAAAGGGCGGAAUGGAGCUUUGAACCAGGGACCUUGGAUGUGUUAUUCCAAACAAUUGAGUAACCCAGAACGAACACAACAGGCUAAAGUUAAUAUUGACACAUAGUAAACUACUUUUAUACACAAUCUAAAACACAGAUACAUACAAAACUGCUGGUACGACUGUUUGGCUGGUGCGCGUAACUAUCUGCUUAAAUAAUCAAAUCAUAAAGAACGGUACAUCUAACCAUCCUGAAACAACCUGGUCGACACGUUAAAGUGAGGUCAGUGAUUGAUUGAUUAAAUAUUGUGAUACGUUGUGUAUCGUACUCCUGGCUAAUGAACAUGCCUUAAGAAUACCUUAUUUUGGUUUAAUAUGAGUCCAAAAUUAAGUGAGGUUAUGUUGAUAUAUAUGUAUAUGGAUGUACGAUGGGUAAUAGGAAACCGCCUCCCUAAUAAGGGCUCAUCCCUUUUGUAAAUACUGUAUUAGCUGUGCCGUUAAAAAAAAAAAAAAACCUAAGUAGUCAUGUAACAACCAAGCAACAACAAAAACAUAACUGUACGGUAGCUGCUUCCAGAACAUCACCUAUAUAACUGUUCGGCCAAUCUCUAUUCUCACCUACUCAAAAAUAAAACACCACUCCAAAACACAGACAAAUUAAUAAUUACAAUAAACAAAAUAAGGCUGGAUUCCGGUGGGGCGCUUUGCGCGGUCCUCUGGCCUCGUCUAGUGCAAAUUCCUGUGGAAACAAGGUGAAAGGGCCGGCUACAUUGAUUACCCUUCGCACUUAAUAAUACAUACAGUCACGCUUCGCCACAAUAAUAGCGGCAACGUUGUAAGAUAUUGUAAUGCAUAACUCUGGAACCCAAAGCACCCAGAACCUUCAUGUUUAUGAUCCAUAGACUAUACUGCCAGACAUUCCCCCGUCUAGACGACAUAUCUCAGAUGCUUAAAACGUAUAGGUAUGUCUGCAGUUCUUAGGAAUCUUCACAAGGUUUUCUCUUUAAGGCCAUUGUAGUUCUCACCUUCCACUGCAACAUAUAAUUCACCUAUCCGUGACAUGGAAUUAGGCGUGACGAACUGGCCCUUAGUUAGGUAUCAUACCACAAUAUCUUAUAGUAGUUCUCUUUCUCCCAUGGUAUAGUUUGUCUGGUCCUAGACCAACGUGUUUCUAUCAAUUUACUAUAUUAGUAGUCAAUUUAGUAUAUCUCCUCUCCAAUUGUAAUCUGUACAUAGGAAACAGAGGACCACCUCCUUUCUAAAUCACUAUAUCGUUAUUGUGUUAUUUAUGUCUCCUAUACGUCAAUAUGUGCUGUAUGUCCAUCACCUGUGCUGUAUAUAGCCAACACUUUACCUUGUCAUACUGCUUUACAUAUGUGCAUGAUAUAUAUGUCUCUCUCUUUGGAUUUUUUGCAGGUGUGAUACAUUAAUUUCCUCUCUGCAUGACACCUUCCCUGUAUAUAACCAACACUCUCUAUUUCCUCCAUGCUAGAUAUUCCUGGAUAUCCUGCUAUACUACUUUACCUAUGUGCAUGCUGUAUAUAGAUUUCUCUCUUAGAACUGUUAUAGGUGUAUAUAUACUAAUCUCCUCCUUUUAUGUCUCCUCCCCUUUCCUUGCCCUAUCUUUACUCUAUAUAUACUUAAAUAUAUGUGUAACAUGAUCCCUAAUAAAUAACACCAGACCUGAGGCAGCUUAGCUGCAUCUCUUGGUCUCUUCCGGGGCCAGACUGUUGGUCCGCUCCUUCGCUGGCCUUCCAGCUCAGUUUCCUUGCCUUUGCUUUCGCUCAAUGAUGCGGACGAAUUGGGAUGCAAGGACAAUCUUGUCUAUAUCAUCCCUGGCCCUGCUACGCAGGGCCGAACUUUCUAUCUGUCCCUAUCUGCUAUCUAGCGAAACCACAGCCAAGGGAACGGGCUUGGAAAAAUCAGCGGGGAAAGAAGACCCUGUUGAGUUUCACUCUAGUCUGGCUCUGUGAAGAGACAUGAGAGGUGUAGUAUAAGUGGGAGCUUCGGCGACGGUGAAAUACCACUACUUUCAUCGUUUCUUUACUGACUCGGUGAGGCGGAAAGCGGUCUCGGACCGGCAUUCUAGAACCAAGUCCCCACCUCUGGUGGGGGCGAUCCGCUCCGAGGACAGUUUCAGGCGGGGAGCUUGGCUGGGGCGGUACAUCUGUCAAAGGGUAACGCAGGUGUCCUAAGGCGAGCUCAGCGAGGACGGAAACCUCGCGUGGAGUGAAAGGGCAAAAGCUGGCUUGAUCUUGAUUUUCAGUACGAAUACGGACCGCGAAAGCGUGGCCUAUCGAUCCUUUUGAUAUUCGGGGUUUGAAGCAAGAGGUGUCAGAAAAAUUACCAAAGGGAUAACUGGCUUGUGGCGGCCAAGCGUUCAUAGCGACGUCGCUUUUUGAUCCUUCGAUGUCGGCUCUUCCUAUCAUUGCGAAGCAGAAUUCGCCAAGCGUUGGAUUGUUCACCCACCAACAGGUAACGUGAGCUGGGUUUAGACCGUCGUGUGACAGGUUAGUUUUACCCUACUGAUGCGGGUCGUUGCCGUAGUAUUCCUGCUCAGUACGAGAGGAACCGCAGGUACGGACAUUUGGUACGUGCGCUUGGUCGAACGGCCAAUGGCGCGAAGCUACCAUCCGAGGGAUUACGACUGAACGCCUCUAAGUCGGAAUCCCGCCUAUGGAUUGCAACGAUACUGUCGUGUCCCCGUUAUUUCGCGGUGCGAAUAGCGGGCUCCCUCGUGGGGUCCGCGAUCAGACCUUCCCGGGGCGUGCUAGACAGCAACUGGAGCGUUGUUGCCGUCGCGCGUCUCACACUCAACCUGUUUGAGGAAA